UACAACUGGUCCGCUGGUACAAAAGGAUCAGUUGUAGUUAACAGGUACAGAAGAUCAGUGUCUCAGCUAUUCCAGCCAGGAAGUGGCACGAUGGGAAUGGUUCCUGCUUAAAUGAGGACUCACUGAUUCACAGAAAGCCUUGAGUUCCUUCUAAAGGAGGCACAGAGUGGCCAAAAGAGGUUGCUGGUUUAUAGUUGCUUCUCUGGAACUAUAUUACUUUGUUUCUCGGAGAAACUUGGGAAUGCAACCUACCCAAAACCUUUCACUCCCUUUUCUUUGCAGCUUUACUUGAUGAGAAACAGCAAACCUGAUUUACGCUACCAAAUUAAUCAAUUUUUUUCUUAGGGAAUGGAUGAUCUGCAAGUGGCAUCUGCUGCCGCAGAUAUCUUGUCUUAUCUUGUUGACUUUUGCCCACUCCUGGUCCAAGAACUUGUCAUGCAAGAGGCCCAGCAAAAGACCACGGUACUAACCUCAUCUGUGCACUCAUGCAGCAGAUGUUAUGGCAUCAUGCUGUUGCAUUUGGAAGAGCUGAUCAGGUCAUGGAGCUGUUGCAACUCUGCUUGAUCCAGAGAAUCUGCUGACCACAGCUGAGGUAUCCAAAAUACUUGGAUUUUUCAAUUCCUUCUAUGCCCACUGUCCUCCCGUUCUGACUGCACCGCUUCUGGCCAGUGCAGCAACAGGUACCUGGGAAAUAGCAAAUGAGGAUUUUUUUCCUUGUUUUCCCCCUUGGAGGCUUGUAGUGUCUGGAAGGGACUGACAGGGGUGCUCCCAGCAAUCAGCUGGUCAGGCCGGCUGGGAGUGCACCUGAGAAAAAUGGCUGCUCCCCGAGGACAGAGCUUCUUUAGGCAGCACUUUUCAGCCCUUACUUGCCCCUCCCUGAAAUGCCUUCAGGCUGUGCUUUGUGGCAGACGGACCUCCUGCAGGAGGGUUGUUCAUGGUGGAGGAGUUGGACUUGUAUCUUUUCUAAGAUUUGCUUCAAGGGCCAAAAAAGUCACCUCUCUGUGGGUUCUUUUGUUCUCCCCCAAAGUUCUGCCUCCUAAAGCAACCCAGGAAAGCCAAAGUCCACUAAAACCAUGUCAGCAAGCGCAGGAGCACUUGAGCUGGGUGGAUGGCACAGGACAUUUCUUUCUUUUUUUUUUGCCUUUGUUGCUCAUUGAAGGCAUUACUUUUCCUAUAGAUGAUUAUCAAACAGCACAACUCCUGGUUUUAAUUUUGGAGCUGUUGAGUUUUUGUGUGACACAGCACAAGGAGCACAUGAGGGGUUACAUCCUCCACUGGGAUUUGCUAAGAGUCGUGCUCUUGAUCAAUUCCCAACACACAUUUCUGGCCUUGAGUGAGUAAUCUUUGGCAUUUUGUUCUUCCAAGCUUAGUAUGUCCUGGGUGGAAGGUGUUCCAGGAGACACUUGAACUCAAGAUUCAUGGGAAGGGAU
This is a long non-coding RNA of Passer domesticus (house sparrow), 1430 nucleotides long. RefSeq lists it as uncharacterized. The transcript has 3 exons. The record is from RefSeq and is a predicted model, not a curated record. NCBI's taxonomy places the organism in Eukaryota, Metazoa, Chordata, Aves, Passeriformes, Passeridae.